GCAAACUUGGUCAUUUAGAGGAAGUAAAAGUCAUAACAAGGUUUCUGUAGGUGAACCUGCAGAAGGAUCAUUAGAGAAUUUUUAGGGAUUGAUUUCGAUCUUCCCGAACCUUCUUUUUUAUCUUAAACACCUGUGCAUUUGUGUGUGCGUUUCUGACGCAUACACACACAAUUUAUUAAACUCUAUGUUUUUUUGAGCGUAAUUUUAUUAUAAACAAAUAAUAACUUUUGACAACGGAUCUCUUGGUUCUCCCAUCGAUGAAGAACGCAGC
This 271-nucleotide unclassified non-coding RNA is filed under the name uncultured fungus. RNAcentral describes it as "partial contains small subunit ribosomal RNA, internal transcribed spacer 1, and 5.8S ribosomal RNA". The stretch from base 1 to 73 matches the Rfam family "Eukaryotic small subunit ribosomal RNA", at positions 1759 to 1831 of the family's 1831-position model. Lineage: Eukaryota; Fungi. The record is from RNAcentral.